This 468-nucleotide ribosomal RNA is filed under the name uncultured bacterium. Its description in RNAcentral is "partial 16S ribosomal RNA". It matches the Rfam family "Bacterial small subunit ribosomal RNA", at positions 28 to 507 of the family's 1533-position model. The record is from RNAcentral.
GACGAACGCUGGCGGCGUGCUUAACACAUGCAAGUCGAACGGAAAGGCCCUGCUUUUGUGGGGUGCUCGAGUGGCGAACGGGUGAGUAACACGUGAGUAACCUGCCCUUGACUUUGGGAUAACUUCAGGAAACUGGGGCUAAUACCGGAUAGGAGCUCCUGCUGCAGGGGGGGGGUUGGAAAUUUUCGGCGGUUGGGGAUGGACUCGCGGCUUAUCAGCUUGUUGGUGGGGUAGUGGCUUACCAAGGCUUUGACGGGUAGCCGGCCUGAGAGGGUGACCGGCCACAUUGGGACUGAGAUACGGCCCAGACUCCUACGGGAGGCAGCAGUGGGGAAUAUUGCACAAUGGGCGGAAGCCUGAUGCAGAAACGCCGCGUGCGGGAUGACGGCCUUCGGGUUAUAAACCGCUUUCGCCUGUGACGAAGCGUGAGUGACGGUAAUGGGUAAAGAAGCACCGGCUAACUACGUG